CCUGCCCCUAGAGGCAUUGCAGACGUGACUGCUGUGUCACAUGUAUGUCAGUAGGUGGUACAGCAGAGAGAAUCUAUCUAUGCUUAGUGUACCUGACAUUCCCUGAAAAAAGUGAGUCUGAGAUG
Molecule: small nucleolar RNA, 125 nt
Organism: Rattus norvegicus (Norway rat)
Lineage: Eukaryota; Metazoa; Chordata; Mammalia; Rodentia; Muridae
Product: small nucleolar RNA SNORA17
Source: Ensembl